CAGGCAUACAACAUGCAGUAAUAAUGUGACAAUAGUAUUACCUGCUUUUAUGGAUGGUCCCUCCAGACGAGAAAAUACACUUCACACAAUAAAUAUAUUUAUUUGAUGUGAGGUUAAAGAAACAAACAUACAUUUUAAUCACAUACACACAACCGUUAGGUAAUGACUCACUAUGAUUCUGCAAGGGCCCUUGCUGGAAGCAACAAUCACUAUUAAAGAAUAGGCAUAUUUGGUUACCAGAUGUGAUUGGGUGUCUGACGCUGCACAGCUUUUGGUGCGGCCAAUCACGUAUCCCAAUACAGGGGGGCGCGUCUUUCUGGCGCCUCCCGCCUCCAUCACUACCAUCAGAUGGAAUGCGCGCGCAAACCCAGCCAGCUUAAAUAGCUGACUGGAAAGGGACAGAUCAUGUCCCCCUCGUGCGUUCCAGCGUGCGUCAGCUUGCUGGAGCGCAUUACCCGCGCGCGCAAGUCUGUUGGGAUGCGUGCACCGGAAGUGAUGCCAGGGGUCAACUUUGGCCCUUUCACUUCCGGUGGAGAUGUUACCAUUUAGGUCGACGCGGACGGCAUAAACGUCAGACGCCGACCUGGAUGGAUGGACGGAGGACAGGACAACACACACAGGAUGCCAACACAUGCUUUUGCUGUACAUAUACUUACCUCUUUCUGGUUCAUCUAAGGUAAUUCUCCCCCUUAUCUUCGCUUAUUACUUGAUUAAUGGAUGGGUGCUUUAUGUGGACUAGCUAGCCAUAUGCACCCAUAUUAUUUACACCUAUAUCCAUAUACUUAUUAUUAUUAUUUUUUCAUAGAACCGAGGUGGACCUAUAGAGGAUCCCAUUUAAACCUUACUGUUGAGAUUAAGUUGAACCUUAUCACCAUCGAGGUAACAUAUUUAUUCAGUGACAUCUUUGCCCUCCAGUGUGUGUGUUUAAAUUAUCAAACACAUAUUUUGACUCUAUGGUUGCACCAUUUUUUGGCUGCAAGCAAUUAGUUGCUUAUAAUGAUAACACCUAAUGUGGCCUUUCUAUAUAAUAUAAUAAUUGUGUGACUUUUGAUAUCUUUUGUAUAUUUAUACAACAAUUACCCUACCUACAUUGGAAAUACUUCCACCAUAGUGAUUACACUAUUAUGUGUUCUCCUUUUCUUUUUAGGAGUGAUAUAGAUAUAGUACAUAGACACCCACAUCUCUAAUUUCUUUAUUGUCUACUGCAAGUCCUAAACAUCUCAUUGUCUGCACCUGCUGUAGCCAAUUGGAUCUGGCAUCCAUUGGUUAGAAGUGUACCAGUCUGCCUCCUUAUUACACUGGUGUAUCCUUUGUCAACAUUUCAGGCAGGUCGACCUGCCUUGGCCCCGAGCUUUUUAACGGAAGUGACCACCAUAUGUAAAUAAAGAAACAGGAACAAUUUUGCAAGCCCUGACGAAGCACAUCAGUGCGAAACUAGUUGGCAAAUCUGCAUCCAUUUUCCUAAUUUUCCUUCUUUGUUAAUGAAUUAUGAAAUUGUGGUCUUAAUCAUGUAAACUCUUUUAUAUGCAUUAAUUUUAUGAAAUUUUUUAUAUAUGAAAUUAAAACUUUUUUGAUACUCCCAAAAA
Molecule: long non-coding RNA, 1586 nt
Organism: Rana temporaria (common frog)
Lineage: Eukaryota; Metazoa; Chordata; Amphibia; Anura; Ranidae
Exons: 2
Source: RefSeq, a predicted model, not a curated record